CUUAGUGGCGAACGGGUGAGUAACGCGUAAUCAACCUGCCCUUCAGAGGGGGACAACAGUUGGAAACGACUGCUAAUACCGCAUAAGCCCACGAUCCGGCAUCGGAUUGAGGGAAAAGGAUUUAUUCGCUUCAGGAUGGACUCGCGUCCAAUUAGCUAGUUGGUGAGGUAACGGCCCACCAAGGCGACGAUUGGUAGCCGGACUGAGAGGUUGAACGGCCACAUUGGGACUGAGACACGGCCCAGACUCCUACGGGAGGCAGCAUG
RNAcentral lists this ribosomal RNA (266 nucleotides) under uncultured bacterium. Its description in RNAcentral is "partial 16S ribosomal RNA". It matches the Rfam family "Bacterial small subunit ribosomal RNA", at positions 91 to 353 of the family's 1533-position model. The record is from RNAcentral.